AGUCAAAUGCUUAUCUACUUAAGGACAAGUUGUGAUGAGGAGCGAAAUUUAGUAGCGAAGUGAGAGACGUCACACUGCCAAGAAAAGCUUCUAGUUAGAGUUUAAUCACCCGUACCGCAAACCGACACAGGUAGUCGAGGCGAGUAGCCUAAGGUGAGCGAGAGAACUCUCGUUAAGGAACUCGGCAAAAUGACCCCGUAACUUCGGGAGAAGGGGUGCUGAGCGCAAGCUCAGCCGCAGUGAAUAGGCCCAGGCGACUGUUUAUCAAAAACACAGGUUUCUGCAAAAUCGUAAGAUGAAGUAUAGGGGCUGACGCCUGCCCGGUGCUGGAAGGUUAAGAGGAUGGGUUAGCGUAAGCGAAGCUCAGAAUUGAAGCCCCAGUAAACGGCGGCCGUAACUAUAACGGUCCUAAGGUAGCGAAAUUCCUUGUCGGGUAAGUUCCGACCCGCACGAAAGGCGUAACGAUCUGGGCACUGUCUCAACGAGAGACUCGGUGAA
Molecule: ribosomal RNA, 498 nt
Filed under: Ligilactobacillus salivarius
Lineage: Bacteria; Bacillati; Bacillota; Bacilli; Lactobacillales; Lactobacillaceae
Description: partial 23S ribosomal RNA
Rfam family: Bacterial large subunit ribosomal RNA
Source: RNAcentral